AAUCUGCAUUAGAUUCUUGGGGAUCUGAUCUGAUUCAGUGACUGGAUUCUGUGUCACUGGGCACGCGAUUCUCUGAGAUACAAAUUGCAUUGUGUGUGAUCUGCCCCCUAAUCUCUUCUAUCGCUAUGGGAUUCUGUGGGAUCAGCCAGGAAUCUGGGAUUAACUGGGAUCUGUGAGGCUUUAUUCAUUGGUGGAGCACUCUGGGAUCAGCACUGAAUCUGCACACAAUUUGGACUGGAUCUUGUUAGCGGAUUUAGUACUUUCUGGAUUGGAUUUAUUAUCUUCCCAUUCAGUUGCACAGUGUGUGGGUAGGAAGGUGGGGAGGAGACGCUGCCGGAGACCCCUCGGCUCAGGGAACAUCAAGUCUAAACAUGAGGCUCAGUCUCACUCUAUUUGUGCUGCUUCUUCUCACAUGUUAUGGCUCCCAGUCUGUGCCGGAGCAGCCGCCCCGUAAUGCCGGGCCCUCAGUACCUGGCCCACAUCAACCAGAACCAGGGAAAUCUACUGUUCUGUCUGGGAUCCGGCCGCCAACUCCUGGGCUAGGAUUUAAUCGUGGGGCCCAGCCACUCACUGCAACUGAACAUGGCAACCAACCAAACUCAGGGGUAGCCCAGCAGGGCACAGGGGACCUGCCCCACGGAACUGUGGGUAAUCCUGCUCUGAAAACUGCAAAGCCUCUAGGAGUCCAGACCUCGGGUGGCAAGGCUGAUUCCAGCAGCUCCCCAAAUUCAGUUGCAGAUGUGGAUGAAUGUGCGGGUCCAGAGCCCCCCUGCGGGUUAUACUCCAACUGCACCAACACUGUGGGUUCCUACCUGUGCCGCUGCCUCCGGGGCUUCCUUAGAGGUCCAAAUGGGUGUGAGGACGUAGAUGAGUGCCAGUUGGCGGAGGCAACCGGCCUGCAGGCUUGCCCCCCACACUCCUCAUGCAGAAACACCCUGGGCUCAUUCGCUUGCUCCUGUGAUCCGGGCUUUGUAUUCGGACUGGAUGGGAAGCGCUGUGUCGAUAUCGAUGAGUGCGCCUUCGAGGAGAAAUGUCGCCGUGAGUUGGGGAACCUGUGUGUCAAUACAGAGGGGAGCUAUCGCUGCCGCUGCCAGGCCGGAUUUCGGGAGACAGGACAGGCCUGUGUAGAUAUAGAUGAAUGUGCAGAGAAUCCGUCUCUCUGCUCCGGCCUAGGGGUCUGUGAGAACUCGUUGGGGAGCUAUGUCUGCGGGUGUCAGCCGGGCUUCCGAGGAAACGGAACUUACUGUGAAGAUGAGAAUGAAUGCGCGUCGGGGGGACACGGCUGUGACUCCAACGCCCACUGUGGAAAUAUCAUUGGAUCCUACUUCUGCCAGUGUUACCAGGGGUUUAAUGGAGAUGGGCACAGCUGCUUUGACAUCGACGAGUGCUCGGUGAAUAACGGCGAUUGCCCCCAUUCGUGUGUGAAUCAGGCGGGCAGCUAUAGGUGCCAGUGCCGCCCGGGGUACCUACUGCAGGAAGAUGCCAAGAACUGCACCGAUAUCGAUGAGUGUGAGACAGCCAAUGGGGAAUGUGCCCAAAUUUGCGAGAAUACGGACGGCUCGUACGGUUGCUCGUGCCGCAAAGGGUUCCAGCUCCAUGUGGACCUCAAACAAUGUAUCGAUAUUGAUGAGUGUAAGAUUGACAAUGGCGGCUGCGCUCACACGUGCAACAACACGGAGGGAGGGUUCCUGUGCCUGUGCCCCCCGCACCAAGCGCUGGCCAAGGACUCCAGGACCUGCAUUAAUAUCACGUCGUGCAGUACGAGGAACGGCGGUUGUGACCACGUGUGUAGCCAGAAGCAGGAGGGGGGCUUCGAAUGCAGCUGUCGGGCCGGUUGGCUGCUCAGCAGUAAUGGAAGGACCUGUGAAGAUGUUGAUGAAUGCGCCGAUUUCACUCGCGGGGGGUGCGAACAGCAAUGUGAGAACCUGCCCGGAACGUUCCACUGCAGCUGCACCAAAGGCUUCACCCUGCGCUCCGACGAGCCCACCAAGUGCCAACCGGUGUGUAACCCCCCGUGUCAAAACUAUGGGGUGUGUGUGGCUCCUGAUACCUGUGACUGUCCUGCUGGAUACCCCGGACCUGGUUGUUCAGCCACAUGCUCGCCACCCUGUGCCCACGGAGGAACCUGUAUGAGACACAACAUGUGCCAGUGCCCGACUGGAUGGACAGGACCAGGCUGCCAGGCAGCGGUGUGUGAGCUGCCCUGUGCCAAUGGGGGGCGCUGUGUGGCCCCCGACAGCUGCCAGUGCACAUUUGGAUACAGCGGGGAGCAGUGUCUGACACCGCUGUGCUCGCCCCCCUGUCUCAAUGGAGGAAAGUGCAUCGAUGUGAACAAGUGUGUGUGCCCGGCCGGUUGGCUCGGGGCCCGGUGCCAGAUCGAACCAGUCCGAUGUGAGAAGGAGUGUCUCAAUGGGGGCAAGUGUGUGGGGUACAACUCCUGCCGCUGCCCCGCCGGCUUCCUGGGGCCACAGUGCCAGACAGCUGUCAUUGAGCCUUGCGUCCCACCCUGCAAACAUGGAGCCACCUGUGUGCAGUUCAAUAAGUGCCAGUGUGCGGAGGGGACCGCCGGGCAUCGCUGUGAGAAGCUGACCUGCCCUAUUGUGACCACCAAGCUGAGCACGGCGCGAGCCAUCCGGCAGGGAGUACGGGAGAGCUACGUGGAGCGCUGUGGCCCCCUGGGAGUGCAGCUUUGUACCAAAUACAGAACCGCCCCUCCAAUGACAUCACAAUAGAGGCGGGGGUGCCGAAAGCCACAACCUGGUCUCGGGCAAGGAGAGCUUGUGGAAGAGCUCAACCCGAUCUGCCAAUGCUGUACCCGGCCCGUCCAUCAGUACUGCAGAGCCUGUAUAAGGACUUGUCUUCCUGAGGCACUUACUCUAUCAGCCUGAUAAGAUCUGCAGAUGUCACUAAGUAGGAACCAGGUGGUUACCAGCCCCUGGCUAGGAACCAACCAGGUGCGGGUGUACGUCCAGGCGUACGUGGUCGGCUACAGAAUCCAGUGCCCCCCCAAACACAGGCAGUAGAGCUGAAUAUAUUCCGCAACAUCUGGGUCGGUUCUGCAGAACAUCGUCUCUUUGGCUCCUCCCAGAGGUCCCACAUUAAUGGCUGAACCAAUGUACUGUGCUCUUAUAUCAACACAAUGACUCAACGUCUGGGGGCCACUGGGCCCCUGGGAACCGCUCCAGUCAGCCCCUUAAUGUCUCUACCUUUGUUACUAUCAUUUCUCAAUAAAUCUGUUUUUUAAAUAAUG
This is an RNA transcript of Xenopus tropicalis (tropical clawed frog), 3250 nucleotides long. It is a transcript of the gene named adhesion G protein-coupled receptor E2, with no coding region annotated. The transcript is spliced from 22 exons. NCBI's taxonomy places the organism in Eukaryota, Metazoa, Chordata, Amphibia, Anura, Pipidae. The record is from RefSeq and is a predicted model, not a curated record.